GAUGAAGAACGCAGCGAAAUGCGAUAAGUAGUGUGAAUUGCAGAAUUCAGUGAAUCAUCGAAUCUUUGAACGCACAUUGCGCCCUUUGGUAUUCCAAAGGGCAUGCCUGUUCGAGCGUCAUUUGUACCCUCAAGCUUUGCUUGGUGUUGGGCGUCUUGUCUCUAGCUUUGCUGGAGACUCGCCUUAAAGUAAUUGGCAGCCGGCCUACUGGUUUUGGAGCGCAGCACAAGUCGCACUCUCUAUCAGCAAAGGUCUAGCAUCCAUUAAGCCUUUUUUUCAACUUUUGACCUCGGAUCAGGUAGGGAUACCCGCUGAACUUAAGCAUAUCAAUAAGCGGAGGA
This 341-nucleotide unclassified non-coding RNA is filed under the name soil metagenome. RNAcentral's name for it is "partial contains 5.8S ribosomal RNA, internal transcribed spacer 2, and large subunit ribosomal RNA". The stretch from base 1 to 120 matches the Rfam family "5.8S ribosomal RNA", at positions 35 to 154 of the family's 154-position model. The record is from RNAcentral.